This 661-nucleotide ribosomal RNA is filed under the name uncultured bacterium. RNAcentral describes it as "bacterial SSU rRNA". It matches the Rfam family "Bacterial small subunit ribosomal RNA", at positions 94 to 788 of the family's 1533-position model. The record is from RNAcentral.
AGUGGCGGACGGGUGAGUAACGCGUGAGAAUCUGCCUUGGGGUCGGGGACAACCACUGGAAACGGUGGCUAAUACCGGAUAAGCCGAUUGGUGAAAGAUUUAUUGCCCGAAGAGGAGCUCGCGUCUGAUUAGCUAGUUGGUGAGGUAAGAGCUCACCAAGGCAGCGAUCAGUAGCUGGUCUGAGAGGACGAUCAGCCACACUGGGACUGAGACACGGCCCAGACUCCUACGGGAGGCAGCAGUGGGGAAUUUUCCGCAAUGGGCGAAAGCCUGACGGAGCAAGACCGCGUGAGGGAGGAAGGCUCUUGGGUUGUAAACCUCUUUUCUCAGGGAAGAAGCUCUGACGGUACCUGAGGAAUCAGCCUCGGCUAACUCCGUGCCAGCAGCCGCGGUAAUACGGAGGAGGCAAGCGUUAUCCGGAAUUAUUGGGCGUAAAGCGUCCGCAGGUGGCGAUUCAAGUCUGCUGUCAAAGCACGGGGCCUAACUCCGUAAAGGCAGUGGAAACUGAAUAGCUAGAGUGCCGUAGGGGUAGAGGGAAUUCCCGGUGUAGCGGUGAAAUGCGUAGAGAUCGGGAAGAACAUCGGUGGCGAAAGCGCUCUACUGGACGGCAACUGACACUCAGGGACGAAAAGCUAGGGGAGCGAAUGGGAUUAGAUACCCC